Taeniopygia guttata (zebra finch) is the source of this 799-nucleotide non-coding RNA. Lineage: Eukaryota; Metazoa; Chordata; Aves; Passeriformes; Estrildidae. The record is from RefSeq and is a predicted model, not a curated record.
UUGGGGAAAAUCUGUAAACAUGUAAGACGUAAUAUAUCAUAUAAAAGAUAGCAGCAGCCUUGGGCGGGGAGAGAGACGACGGAGACACUGGACAGUGAGGGUGUCAGGAGUGUGUGUGUCUCUGCCUGAGCAGCUGACCAAGGCAGCCGUGGCGGGCGAAGACAAUCUUUUAGAUAGCUAGCAAUAAACUGCCUUGAGACCGAACAACAAGAGGCUGCGGAGUUUUUCUUUGGAAGCACGGGUUGGAGGAGAGACUUUACCACUACACGAGACCCCUGAAUCAAUCCCGGGUUUCUCACACCUGGCGUCCCUUGGCGGGCUUCAGCAAGAAGAACAAGAAGAAACAUCAAUCAGCCUCCAACCUUCAGCAGCAGAAAAGGAAAACAAAAACAGAGAAGAGCAGAGCGCACACACUCUCCACAAAUUCCAAGAAGAGAGGGAGUGAAAGGCUCAAGAUAAGAACCUGACCUUCACCAAGACAACUCGUCUCGGGGACUUUCCAGGGAGGAGACGACCCAGAAGCGCGCCUGGGAUCUCUCACCUGUGACCUGCUGGACAGUGAACAGUGCCAUCUCCGGACCGACCCCGGGCUGACUCAGAUUUUGAGCGAGGACCGAAGUGGGUGUCGGCGAGGCACGUGAAACCUUAUCGGGUGCAGACGCAAGUGGACGUGGACCCGAGAAGCAGAGAAGCAAGCACGCAGACGAAGGCAGACGACGACGCUGCAGACGUCACAUCGGACAACGAUUGAUCACCCAGAGACUUGGGGGGUUUUCUUUUUCCUGGGAAAUCAAGUGUU